GACGUAGGAGGCAAGCGUUAUCCGGAGUUACUGGGCGUAAAGCGCGUGCAGGCGGCCUGGUAAGUGGGUCGUGAAAGCGCCCGGCUAAACUGGGCGAGGACGAUCGAGACUGCCAGGCUAGAGGGUGGUAGAGGGACAGGGAAUUCCGGGUGUAGCGGUGAAAUGUGUAGAGAUCCGGAGGAACACCAGUGGCGAAGGCGCUGUCCUGGGCCACCACUGACGCUGAGGCGCGAAGGCGUGGGGAGCGAACGGG
Molecule: ribosomal RNA, 253 nt
Filed under: uncultured bacterium
Lineage: Bacteria
Description: partial 16S ribosomal RNA
Rfam family: Bacterial small subunit ribosomal RNA
Source: RNAcentral